GGUGGUGGCUCUCAGUAGGAUUGACUCAAGUGUUUUGUGUUACUAAACAGUGGUCAUACAUUCCCUCACCCAUUUUUGGCACUUAAGCAUUCAGGUUGUUUACAUAAAUUUUGGAAGAAUCUCAUGGUGUGACAUCUUUGACAACUCGAGAUUUGCUUGAAACGGAGCAAGGGUAUACUUCUCUUGUGAAAGAAGAAUUAUUGCAACCACAAUCCACCGCUAUUGCGAAGAAUGCCGAGAGAAUUGGAUAAGUCUUGGAUGUUUGAAAAUAAAAGAUUUGGUAAAGUAUACAGAGAUGGGGUGAAAUUUUUCAUUCAAUAUGCAUCUACAUAUAGUCUUUGAAAAACCCUUUGUCCUUGCCCAUGUUCUAGAUGUUUAAAUGGGGGUCGUCUCAGUAUUGAGGAAAUGCAGUAGCAUUUGAAAAGG
Long non-coding RNA from Papaver somniferum (opium poppy), 426 nucleotides. RefSeq lists it as uncharacterized. The record is from RefSeq and is a predicted model, not a curated record. The transcript is spliced from 3 exons. NCBI's taxonomy places the organism in Eukaryota, Viridiplantae, Streptophyta, Magnoliopsida, Ranunculales, Papaveraceae.